AUCUAGCUGACAGGUCCGAAAUAGGACGAAACGUGCGUCCUGGAU
Molecule: non-coding RNA, 45 nt
Organism: Schistosoma margrebowiei
Lineage: Eukaryota; Metazoa; Platyhelminthes; Trematoda; Strigeidida; Schistosomatidae
Source: Rfam